Molecule: ribosomal RNA, 43 nt
Filed under: Acacia elata
Lineage: Eukaryota; Viridiplantae; Streptophyta; Magnoliopsida; Fabales; Fabaceae
Also listed under: 3 other names
Description: partial 18S ribosomal RNA
Source: RNAcentral
GGUUGAUCCUGCCAGUAGUCAUAUGCUUGUCUCAAAGAUUAAG